GACAGAGGGUGCAAACGUUGCUCGGAAUUACUGGGCGUAAAGCGCGUGUAGGCGGUUCCGCAAGUCAGGUGUGAAAGCCCAGGGCUCAACCCUGGAAGUGCACAUGAUACUACGGAGCUUGAGUACUGAAGAGGAGAGCGGAAUUCCCGGUGUAGAGGUGAAAUUCGUAGAUAUCAAGUGGAACACCAGUGGCGAAGGCGAGUCUCUGGACAUUUCCUGACGCUGAGGCACGAAAGCCAGGGGAGCAAACGGG
This 253-nucleotide ribosomal RNA is filed under the name uncultured bacterium. Its description in RNAcentral is "partial 16S ribosomal RNA". It matches the Rfam family "Bacterial small subunit ribosomal RNA", at positions 524 to 776 of the family's 1533-position model. The record is from RNAcentral.